CUAGAUAGCUCAGUUGGCUAGAGCAUUCGGUUCAUACCCGGACGGCCGUAGGUUCGAAUCCUAUUCUAGG
Molecule: transfer RNA, 70 nt
Filed under: fish gut metagenome
Rfam family: tRNA
About the family: Transfer RNA (tRNA) molecules are approximately 80 nucleotides in length. Their secondary structure includes four short double-helical elements and three loops (D, anti-codon, and T loops).
Source: RNAcentral